AUACAUGGAACCGCGUUCAUUUGCUUUCGUUGUGCAUCUUAAAAGACUCAGGAAUGAGUGGAGUACUUGAAUAAAUUUCUGGAGUUAAUUAAGUAAACGUUGGGAUAUUUUGGCUCACACCAUGAAAAAUGGAUCUUUAGCUUUAUGCAGUACUUAAUAUGUUUUCAUAGUUUAAUUCUGUCAUGUAUUUGUAUAAGAUACUUUUAAUAUUGCAAAAUUAAUCGAAUCAAAUUAUGUGUCCUCUAGUGUUUAAAUUAACAUAUAGAAAGAUGUGGAAAAGUGAGAACAAGUUUGGUAUACUGAAUUUCAAACUGAUUUAUUCGUGUUUCA
Molecule: long non-coding RNA, 330 nt
Organism: Salvia splendens (bonfire salvia)
Lineage: Eukaryota; Viridiplantae; Streptophyta; Magnoliopsida; Lamiales; Lamiaceae
Exons: 2
Source: RefSeq, a predicted model, not a curated record